Molecule: ribosomal RNA, 604 nt
Filed under: Rhodotorula mucilaginosa
Lineage: Eukaryota; Fungi; Basidiomycota; Microbotryomycetes; Sporidiobolales; Sporidiobolaceae
Description: partial large subunit ribosomal RNA
Rfam family: Eukaryotic large subunit ribosomal RNA
Source: RNAcentral
GCAUAUCCAUAAGCGGAGGAAAAGAAACUAACAAGGAUUCCCCUAGUAGCGGCGAGCGAAGCGGGAAGAGCUCAAAUUUAUAAUCUGGCACCUUCGGUGUCCGAGUUGUAAUCUCUAGAAAUGUUUUCCGCGCUGGACCGCACACAAGUCUGUUGGAAUACAGCGGCAUAGUGGUGAGACCCCCGUAUAUGGUGCGGACGCCCAGCGCUUUGUGAUACAUUUUCGAAGAGUCGAGUUGUUUGGGAAUGCAGCUCAAAUUGGGUGGUAAAUUCCAUCUAAAGCUAAAUAUUGGCGAGAGACCGAUAGCGAACAAGUACCGUGAGGGAAAGAUGAAAAGCACUUUGGAAAGAGAGUUAACAGUACGUGAAAUUGUUGGAAGGGAAACGCUUGAAGUCAGACUUGCUUGCCGAGCAAUCGGUUUGCAGGCCAGCAUCAGUUUUCCGGGAUGGAUAAUGGUAGAGAGAAGGUAGCAGUUUCGGCUGUGUUAUAGCUCUCUGCUGGAUACAUCUUGGGGGACUGAGGAACGCAGUGUGCCUUUGGCGGGGGUUUCGACCUCUUCACACUUAGGAUGCUGGUGGAAUGGCUUUAAACGACCCGUCUUGAA